GGGCGGAGGCGGCAGGGAUGCGAUGGCGGAGUCGCUGCCCCUGGAGAUGCUCACAUAUAUUCUGAGCUUCCUGCCUCUGUCAGAUCAGAAAGAAGCCUCCCUCGUGAGUUGGGCUUGGUACCGUGCUGCCCAGAAUGCCCUUCGGGAGAGGCUGUGGCUACCCUGUGCUUCCAGCAACCAGGCCUUACCUCUCUGGACCUCAGUGGCUG
This 209-nucleotide long non-coding RNA is filed under the name Pan troglodytes (chimpanzee). Its description in RNAcentral is "long non-coding RNA NONPTRT006363". The record is from RNAcentral. Lineage: Eukaryota; Metazoa; Chordata; Mammalia; Primates; Hominidae.